Molecule: ribosomal RNA, 803 nt
Filed under: uncultured bacterium
Lineage: Bacteria
Description: bacterial SSU rRNA
Rfam family: Bacterial small subunit ribosomal RNA
Source: RNAcentral
AGAGUUUGAUCCUGGCUCAGAUUGAACGCUGGCGGCAGGCCUAACACAUGCAAGUCGAGCGGAAACGGCAGCAUUGAAGCUUCGGUGGAUUUGCUGGACGUCGAGCGGCGGACGGGUGAGUAACGGCUGGGAACCUGCCCUGACGCGGGGGAUAACCGUUGGAAACGACGGCUAAUACCGCAUAAUGUCUUAGUUCAUUACGAGCUGGGACCAAAGGUGGCCUCUAUAUGUAAGCUAUCGCGUUGGGAUGGGCCCAGUUAGGAUUAGCUAGUUGGUAAGGUAAUGGCUUACCAAGGCGACGAUCCUUAGCUGGUUUGAGAGGAUGAUCAGCCACACUGGGACUGAGACACGGCCCAGACUCCUACGGGAGGCAGCAGUGGGGAAUAUUGCACAAUGGGGGAGACCCUGAUGCAGCCAUGCCGCGUGUGUGAAGAAGGCCUUCGGGUUGUAAAGCACUUUCAGCAGUGAGGAAGGUGGUGUACUUAAUACGUGCAUGGCUUGACGUUAGCUGCAGAAGAAGCACCGGCUAACUCCGUGCCAGCAGCCGCGGUAAUACGGAGGGUGCGAGCGUUAAUCGGAAUUACUGGGCGUAAAGCGCAUGCAGGCGGUUUGUUAAGUCAGAUGUGAAAGCCCGGGGCUCAACCUCGGAACCGCAUUUGAAACUGGCAGGCUAGAGUCUUGUAGAGGGGGGUGGAAUUUCAGGUGUAGCGGUGAAAUGCGUAGAGAUCUGAAGGAAUACCAGUGGCGAAAGCGGCCCCCUGGACAAAGACUGACGCUCAGAUGCGAAAGCGUGGGUAGCAAAC